This 423-nucleotide ribosomal RNA is filed under the name Eutropis multifasciata (many-lined sun skink). RNAcentral's name for it is "partial 16S rRNA". It matches the Rfam family "Bacterial large subunit ribosomal RNA", at positions 1970 to 2594 of the family's 2925-position model. Lineage: Eukaryota; Metazoa; Chordata; Lepidosauria; Squamata; Scincidae. The record is from RNAcentral.
UGUCUUCUAAAUAAAGACUAGUAUGAACGGCUAAAUGAGGACAAAACUGUCUCUUAUGACUAAUCAGUGAAACUGAUCUACCAGUACAAAAGCUGGUAUUACUACAUAAGACGAGAAGACCCUGUGGAGCUUAAAACAAACCACUACCCCAUAAGACCCCUAGUGUACUGUUUUAAGUUGGGGCGACUUCGGAACAAAACAAAACUUCCGAGCAUAGAUCCACCAGAUCAAACCAAGGCCUACAAGCCAAAAUAAAAACUGACCCGGCCCAAGCCGAUCAACGAACCAAGUUACCCCAGGGAUAACAGCGCUAUCUUCUUCAAGAGUCCAUAUCGACAAGAAGGUUUACGACCUCGAUGUUGGAUCAGGACACCCAAGUGGUGCAGCCGCUACUAAAGGUUCGUUUGUUCAACGAUUAACAGU